CCAAAAGUCAAAAGACUUUCAUUUUUUGUUGAAAUUCAAAGACUUGAUCAGAGGACCUAUUGUGACAACAAAUCAGAUGUGGUACCGAUUUCUUUCAAUUUUCAUAAUUUUGUACGUA
This 118-nucleotide non-coding RNA is filed under the name uncultured eukaryote. The record is from RNAcentral.